UGACUNGAGUGCAGAAGGGGAGAGUGGAAUUCCAUGUGUAGCGGUGAAAUGCGUAGAUAUAUGGAGGAACACCAGUGGCGAAAGCGGCUCUCUGGUCUGUCACUGACGCUGAGGCUCGAAAGCGUGGGUAGCGAACAGGAUUAGAUACCCUGGUAGUCCAUGCCGUAAACGAUGAGUGCUAGGUGUUAGGCCCUUUCCGGGGCUUAGUGCCGGAGCUAACGCAAUAAGCACUCCGCCUGGGGAGUACGACCGCAAGGUUGAAACUCAAAGGAAUUGACGGGGGCCCGCACAAGCGGUGGAGCAUGUGGUUUAAUUCGAAGCAACGCGAAGAACCUUACCAGGUCUUGACAUCCCGAUGCUAUUCUUAGAGAUAGGAAGUUACUUCGGUACAUCGGAGACAGGUGGUGCAUGGUUGUCGUCAGCUCGUGUCGUGAGAUGUUGGGUUAAGUCCCGCAACGGGCGCAACCCUUAUUGUUAGUUGCCAUCAUUAAGUUGGGCACUCUAGCGAGACUGCCGGUAAUAAACCGGAGGAAGGUGGGGAUGACGUCAAAUCAUCAUGCCCCUUAUGACCUGGGCUACACACGUGCUACAAUGGUCGGUACAACGAGUUGCGAGCCGGUGACGGCAAGCUAAUCUCUGAAAGCCGAUCUCAGUUCGGAUUGGAGGCUGCAACUCGCCUCCAUGAAGUCGGAAUCGCUAGUAAUCGCGGAUCAGCACGCCGCGGUGAAUACGUUCCCGGGCCUUGUACACACC
Molecule: ribosomal RNA, 753 nt
Filed under: uncultured bacterium
Lineage: Bacteria
Description: bacterial SSU rRNA
Rfam family: Bacterial small subunit ribosomal RNA
Source: RNAcentral